Molecule: ribosomal RNA, 253 nt
Filed under: uncultured bacterium
Lineage: Bacteria
Description: partial 16S ribosomal RNA
Rfam family: Bacterial small subunit ribosomal RNA
Source: RNAcentral
UACAGAGGGUGCGAGCGUUGUUCGGAAUUAUUGGGCGUAAAGGGCGCGUAGGCGGUGCGGUAAGUCACCUGUGAAAUCUCCUGGCUCAACUGGGAGCUUGCAGGCGAAACUGCCGUGCUGGAGUGUGGGAGAGGUGCGUGGAAUUCCCAGUGUAGAGGUGAAAUUCGUAGAUAUUGGGAAGAACACCGGUGGCGAAGGCGGCUCACUGGCUCAUUACUGACGCUCAGGCGCGACAGCGUGGGGAUCAAACAGG